CGAAUGGGGAAACCCAGUGUGUUUCGACACACUAUCAUUAACUGAAUCCAUAGGUUAAUGAGGCGAACCGGGGGAACUGAAACAUCUAAGUACCCCGAGGAAAAGAAAUCAACCGAGAUUCCCCCAGUAGCGGCGAGCGAACGGGGAGGAGCCCAGAGCCUGAAUCAGUGUGUGUGUUAGUGGAAGCGUCUGGAAAGGCGCGCGAUACAGGGUGACAGCCCCGUACACAAAAAUGCACAUAUUGUGAGCUCGAUGAGUAGGGCGGGACACGUGGUAUCCUGUCUGAAUAUGGGGGGACCAUCCUCCAAGGCUAAAUACUCCUGACUGACCGAUAGUGAACCAGUACCGUGAGGGAAAGGCGAAAAGAACCCCGGCGAGGGGAGUGAAAAAGAACCUGAAACCGUGUACGUACAAGCAGUGGGAGCCUCUUUAUGGGGUGACUGCGUACCUUUUGUAUAAUGGGUCAGCGACUUAUAUUCUGUAGCAAGGUUAACCGAAUAGGGGAGCCGAAGGGAAACCGAGUCUUAACUGGGCGUUAAGUUGCAGGGUAUAGACCCGAAACCCGGUGAUCUAGCCAUGGGCAGGUUGAAGGUUGGGUAACACUAACUGGAGGACCGAACCGACUAAUGUUGAAAAAUUAGCGGAUGACUUGUGGCUGGGGGUGAAAGGCCAAUCAAACCGGGAGAUAGCUGGUUCUCCCCGAAAGCUAUUUAGGUAGCGCCUCGUGAAUUCAUCUCCGGGGGUAGAGCACUGUUUCGGCAAGGGGGUCAUCCCGACUUACCAACCCGAUGCAAACUGCGAAUACCGGAGAAUGUUAUCACGGGAGACACACGGCGGGUGCUAACGUCCGUCGUGAAGAGGGAAACAACCCAGACCGCCAGCUAAGGUCCCAAAGUCAUGGUUAAGUGGGAAACGAUGUGGGAAGGCCCAGACAGCCAGGAUGUUGGCUUAGAAGCAGCCAUCAUUUAAAGAAAGCGUAAUAGCUCACUGGUCGAGUCGGCCUGCGCGGAAGAUGUAACGGGGCUAAACCAUGCACCGAAGCUGCGGCAGCGACACUAUGUGUUGUUGGGUAGGGGAGCGUUCUGUAAGCCUGUGAAGGUGGCCUGUGAGGGUUGCUGGAGGUAUCAGAAGUGCGAAUGCUGACAUAAGUAACGAUAAAGCGGGUGAAAAGCCCGCUCGCCGGAAGACCAAGGGUUCCUGUCCAACGUUAAUCGGGGCAGGGUGAGUCGACCCCUAAGGCGAGGCCGAAAGGCGUAGUCGAUGGGAAACAGGUUAAUAUUCCUGUACUUGGUGUUACUGCGAAGGGGGGACGGAGAAGGCUAUGUUGGCCGGGCGACGGUUGUCCCGGUUUAAGCGUGUAGGCUGGUUUUCCAGGCAAAUCCGGAAAACCAAGGCUGAGGCGUGAUGACGAGGCACUACGGUGCUGAAGCGACAAAUGCCCUGCUUCCAGGAAAAGCCUCUAAGCAUCAGGUAACAUCAAAUCGUACCCCAAACCGACACAGGUGGUCAGGUAGAGAAUACCAAGGCGCUUGAGAGAACUCGGGUGAAGGAACUAGGCAAAAUGGUGCCGUAACUUCGGGAGAAGGCACGCUGAUAUGUAGGUGAAGCGACUUGCUCGUGGAGCUGAAAUCAGUCGAAGAUACCAGCUGGCUGCAACUGUUUAUUAAAAACACAGCACUGUGCAAACACGAAAGUGGACGUAUACGGUGUGACGCCUGCCCGGUGCCGGAAGGUUAAUUGAUGGGGUUAGCGGUAACGCGAAGCUCUUGAUCGAAGCCCCGGUAAACGGCGGCCGUAACUAUAACGGUCCUAAGGUAGCGAAAUUCCUUGUCGGGUAAGUUCCGACCUGCACGAAUGGCGUAAUGAUGGCCAGGCUGUCUCCACCCGAGACUCAGUGAAAUUGAACUCGCUGUGAAGAUGCAGUGUACCCGCGGCAAGACGGAAAGACCCCGUGAACCUUUACUAUAGCUUGACACUGAACAUUGAGCCUUGAUGUGUAGGAUAGGUGGGAGGCUUUGAAGUGUGGACGCCAGUCUGCAUGGAGCCGACCUUGAAAUACCACCCUUUAAUGUUUGAUGUUCUAACGUUGGCCCGUAAUCCGGGUUGCGGACAGUGUCUGGUGGGUAGUUUGACUGGGGCGGUCUCCUCCUAAAGAGUAACGGAGGAGCACGAAGGUUGGCUAAUCCUGGUCGGACAUCAGGAGGUUAGUGCAAUGGCAUAAGCCAGCUUGACUGCGAGCGUGACGGCGCGAGCAGGUGCGAAAGCAGGUCAUAGUGAUCCGGUGGUUCUGAAUGGAAGGGCCAUCGCUCAACGGAUAAAAGGUACUCCGGGGAUAACAGGCUGAUACCGCCCAAGAGUUCAUAUCGACGGCGGUGUUUGGCACCUCGAUGUCGGCUCAUCACAUCCUGGGGCUGAAGUAGGUCCCAAGGGUAUGGCUGUUCGCCAUUUAAAGUGGUACGCGAGCUGGGUUUAGAACGUCGUGAGACAGUUCGGUCCCUAUCUGCCGUGGGCGCUGGAGAACUGAGGGGGGCUGCUCCUAGUACGAGAGGACCGGAGUGGACGCAUCACUGGUGUUCGGGUUGUCAUGCCAAUGGCACUGCCCGGUAGCUAAAUGCGGAAGAGAUAAGUGCUGAAAGCAUCUAAGCACGAAACUUGCCCCGAGAUGAGUUCUCCCUGACUCCUUGAGA
RNAcentral lists this ribosomal RNA (2687 nucleotides) under Escherichia coli. RNAcentral's name for it is "partial 23S ribosomal RNA". It matches the Rfam family "Bacterial large subunit ribosomal RNA". Lineage: Bacteria; Pseudomonadati; Pseudomonadota; Gammaproteobacteria; Enterobacterales; Enterobacteriaceae. The record is from RNAcentral.